RNAcentral lists this ribosomal RNA (729 nucleotides) under Pupa strigosa. Its description in RNAcentral is "s-rRNA". The record is from RNAcentral. Lineage: Eukaryota; Metazoa; Mollusca; Gastropoda; Acteonidae.
UUAUUGUUUUGUUCCGACAAACAGUAGUCUAUUACUUACUAUGCAUGGUAGUUUUGUUCGCGAACUUUAACCCAGCUAUAAAUAUUGGGCGAUCUUAGUAAUAAGAACCCAUUUUAAGUAACUAGGCAUCUUGACUAAGCAGGUGCCAGCAGUCGCGGUCAUACCUGCAAGAUGAGAUUACAUAUAUCAGAUUAAGUGUUUAAUAUGAAUUUUAUUUGGAACGGGUAAAAUCUGUAAAAUAACUUUAAUAACAGUAUUAGCGCAGUACUUAAACUCUUAAGGGAAACCAGGAUUAGAUACCCUGUUAUUUCAGAGUGAAAAACCAAAUCUGAGGACUAAGACUAACAUAGUUAAAACUUUAAGAACAUGGCGGCAGCUCAAACUUUUAGGGGAACUUACCAGAUAAACGAUAACCCACGAACUUAAUUUACUUCUAUUAUUAAAGCUUGUAUACCGCCGUUUCCAAAUGCUACUUUAGGUAGCUUUAAAACGCCCCAAAUCCACGCAACAAAACAGGUCUAAGUGCAGCCUAUAUAGAAGACAUGAGGUGAGUUACAAUAUGGGCUCUUUUUCGAAUUAAUCCUGUAACGGAAAAUAAAGGUGGACUUAACUGUAAAGGAUAGCUAUUAACAUUUCUUGAAUGUGCUACAGCUGUGCACAAAUCGCCCGUCACUCUCGUUGGAAAAGGAGAUAAGUCGUAACAUAGUAGGGGUACUGGAAAGUGCCCGU